This is a long non-coding RNA of Chinchilla lanigera (long-tailed chinchilla), 480 nucleotides long. RefSeq lists it as uncharacterized. The record is from RefSeq and is a predicted model, not a curated record. The transcript has 3 exons. Lineage: Eukaryota; Metazoa; Chordata; Mammalia; Rodentia; Chinchillidae.
CAAGCCCUCGCUGUGAGGUUCGCACAGUGAGGACGCUUUCCACAGACCGUGUCAGGACUUCAGCAGCGCCUGCAAGGGGACUCAGAGAACAAGUAGGAACUUCCGCCCGUUGGUCGCUAGAGGGAGACACACAAGCACUUGGGUCCAGCAGGCACUGCCCGCCCAGCCACGCCAGUCAGUGGUGCAAGAUUGUGACUGCAUCCACUUCCCGUUAUGGCCCUCAGCCCAGGGUGGAAUCAUUGCAGAGCAGCUCGCCCAAGGCUGAUCAAGCCACGCUCUCGCUGAAGAACCUCUGAAUUUAGCAUGAACCUCGACAGAACGAAACUCCCGGAGGCUGGCCCCAUGCUACCUUCGAAGAAGUAAUGUUUGGCCCUUAGCGUGUAAUUCUAGGACCUGUGACUGUAACUGCUUUGUGUACGCAUCAGUGACAUCAAACACUCCUGAGUGCCGGCAUUGUUUACCCACUGAGCUACAUCCCCC